RNAcentral lists this ribosomal RNA (699 nucleotides) under uncultured bacterium. Its description in RNAcentral is "bacterial SSU rRNA". It matches the Rfam family "Bacterial small subunit ribosomal RNA", at positions 1 to 740 of the family's 1533-position model. The record is from RNAcentral.
AAGAGUUUGAUCCUGGGCUCAGAAUCAACGCUGGCGGCGCGCCUAACACAUGCAAGUCGAACGAGAAAGUCCGCAAGGAUGAGUAAAGUGGCGUACGGGUGAGUAACACGUGGAUCAUCUACCUUUUAGUGGGGAAUACCGUUGGGAAACCGACGACAAUACCGCAUAAGCCCGAGAGGGGAAAGCAGCAAUGCGCUGAAAGAGGAGUCCGCGGCUGAUUAGCUAGUUGGUAGGGUAAUGGCCUACCAAGGCAUCGAUCAGUAGCCGGCCUGAGAGGGCACACGGCCACACUGGCACUGAAACACGGGCCAGACUCCUACGGGAGGCAGCAGUGGGGAAUCUUGCACAAUGGGGGCAACCCUGAUGCAGCGACGCCGCGUGAGCGAUGAAGCCCUUCGGGGUGUAAAGCUCUUUCGGCAGGGAAGAUUAUGACGGUACCUGCAGAAGCAGCUGCGGCUAACUACGUGCCAGCAGCCGCGGUAAUACGUAGGCAGCAAGCGUUGUUCGGAGUUACUGGGCGUAAAGGGUGUGUAGGCGGUUCCCUAAGUUUGGUGUGAAAUCUCCCGGCUUAACCGGGAGGGUGCGCCGAAAACUGGGGAGCUAGAGUAUGGGAGAGGAAAGUGGAAUUCCUGGUGUAGCGGUGAAAUGCGUAGAUAUCAGGAGGAACACCUGCGGGUAACGGCUUUCUGGACCCAUCAC